AGUGUGUGAGUGCAAACUCGUCUGCCCUCGUAUUAAGCAUUUUCUAUUAGGACCGUCAAAUAUGAACUCCGACUUCUUGCUGGAAGGGUCUGAGUCAAGAACAAUCAGAUGAAAGAAAGAAAGGUGGCUUCUUGAGUUAUUGUAUUGAAAUUGUUUGUUUAGGAAAUUGUUGUUGCUUUUGACUUUGACAAUUCAAACGUCAUAAAAAUAUGACGCCAUCUUGCAAAUGAAAACGCUAAUGAUACUACAAAUGUCAGUGUCUUCAAAAUUAACAGUUUGACGUGUUUGAACACUUCUUGCUUAAAAGCCCUAUUAUGUAAGUCAAAAUGGCGACAUGGCGUUUAGCAUACCUUUCCCUUUAAAGCCUAGUUCGCAGAUCGCGCUAAAAUUUAUCUUUCAUACAAGUUUCCUCCAAAGAUAAAUUUAAGCGAGAAUUUUUAGCUAGGUAGUACGCAGUUCACGCGCUAAAUUCGAAUUCUCAUCUACUACUUUUGCAAAAAGUCUCCACUCAAUUUAGCUCGCGAAAUAAUGCUCAGCGCAUUUUUUCACAGAUAAAUUUUGACAUUUUUGUGGUUGUUGUUGUUGCUGCAAGGAAUAAGAGCAGGGCUGCUGAAAUCGCUACUAAGGGAGUAUUUGUACUCCCCAUGCAUACACCGCCCUGCAAACCAAACCUCAGUAGUUUAGGGGAAAUUACAACCACCAACAAAGUCUAUACUUUGUAGAUGUAUGUGUUUCCUUAUUUACCAAAAUCUCUCCCCUCAAAAUAUUGUAGUUUUGUUUCUCCUGAAAAAAAUAAACUCUUUGGCAAAUGGGAGGAAAAGAGCGCGAUGUAUGCAAUGCACAAAGUUUUGUCUCUUUUGUAAUGGCGGCUCGCGUUUGAUUUGACUUUUCCUGUAUUUUGUAGUUUCUAGUGAAACCUUGAUAGCCACAGCAACAUAUUAGUUAAGAAAAAAAAAAACAUUUCUGUGCUCCAUUUGAUAGAUAAAUAGAACAAUUUAACUUAAAAAAAAAAUAAAUAAUCUUCUCAGUGUUUUUUGUGAAAACUAUUUUCUAAAAAAACAAUCUACCACAAAAAUUCCUCAGCACGCCACACAAAUUCCACCACCCUUUCCACCAUCAAAAUGCACAGCCUCAACCUUGUGCAUUUAGAAAAAAAAAUCACAAAAAAAUUACACAAAAGCUACCACCAAUUAUUGAUUUGGAAAAUAAAGAGGAGAUCAAUUCCAGACAUCAAUGACUGAGUUUACAGUUCCAAAGGUUCCUCCACACCAUCCAGAACGAGUGAAAUGAACCUUAUAUUUAAUAGAGACUUCAAUACAAUGAGUGUGAUCCACAUUCCACAGACUUGUAGUGUCUGCACCCUCCGACCACUUGUUGAUGUGUUCGCUCUAAUCCUAAAAAAAACAACAUUCAACAAUUCUAUAUCGAGUAUAAAAAUGACGUCAGAGACUCCUUGCUCGCCACAGUAUUGGAUGCAGUCUUUCGAGUGACAAUUAAGAUGUGCACGAUCGUAUUACAAACAGAUUGCGAGGCAUGCAUUUUGUUCCCCUCAACAGUUGUGUGGAUAGAUAUAAGAUUUUAGAGAAAUUCAACGCCAACAUUUCUCAUAGUGGUCUCAAGUAAAGUGUCACACAAGACGUAUGUUUUGAUAUUAUAUAAUUCGAAUGAAUAAAUCUAAAUCUCUAA
Molecule: long non-coding RNA, 1686 nt
Organism: Episyrphus balteatus (marmalade hoverfly)
Lineage: Eukaryota; Metazoa; Arthropoda; Insecta; Diptera; Syrphidae
Exons: 3
Source: RefSeq, a predicted model, not a curated record